RNAcentral lists this ribosomal RNA (1521 nucleotides) under metagenome. Its description in RNAcentral is "bacterial LSU rRNA". It matches the Rfam family "Bacterial large subunit ribosomal RNA", at positions 1379 to 2925 of the family's 2925-position model. The record is from RNAcentral.
UUAAGUCGGGGCCUAAGGCGAGGUCGAAAGACGUAGUCGAUGGAUAACAGGUUGAAAUUCCUGUACUAUCCUGUAACAGAACUGUGGGGACACAGGCAGAGAGCGUGAGCCGGGAAUGGAAAGACCGGUACAAGCGAGGUAGGAGAAGAGUUGGCAAAUCCGCUCUUUAAUCUGAAGACGUGAUGUGGACUGAAAAUAAGUAGGGAAGCACGUGAGCUGACUGUCAAGAAAAGCCGCUAUUGUUUGCAGGAUACCCGUACCGUAAACCGACACAGGUGGAUGAGGAGAGAAUCCUAAGGCCGACGGGAGAAGCAUUGUUAAGGAACUCGGCAAAAUGACUCCGUAACUUCGGGAGAAGGAGUGCCAGUAAGAUGGCCGCAGAGAAUUGGCCCAAGCAACUGUUUAGCAAAAACACAGGUCUAUGCAAAACCGAAAGGUGAGGUAUAUGGGCUGACGCCUGCCCGGUGCUGGAAGGUUAAGGGGAGAGGUUAGCGCAAGCGAAGCUUUGAACUUAAGCCCCAGUAAACGGCGGCCGUAACAAUAACGGUCCUAAGGUAGCGAAAUUCCUUGUCGGGUAAGUUCCGACCCGCACGAAAGGCGUAAUGAUUUGGGCACUGUCUCACCAAUGCACCCGGUGAAAUUGAAAUACCAGUGAAGAUGCUGGUUACCUGCGCCAGGACGGAAAGACCCCAUGGAGCUUUACUCCAGCUUGAUACUGGGAUUCGGUAUUGCAUGUACAGGAUAGGUGGGAGGCUAGGAAAUGGUAACGCCAGUUGCCAUGGAGCCAAUGUUGGGAUACCACCCUUGCAGUACUGGGUUUCUAACCAGCAGCCGUGAUCCGGCUGGGGGACAAUGUCAGGUGGGGAGUUUGACUGGGGCGGUCGCCUCCGAAAGGGUAUCGGAGGCGCUCAAAGGUUCCCUCAGAAUGGUUGGAAACCAUUCGAAGAGUGCAAAGGCAGAAGGGAGCUUGACUGCGACACCGACGGGUGGAGCAGGUACGAAAGUAGGACUUAGUGAUCCGGUGGUAUAAAGUGGGAUUGCCAUCGCUCAACGGAUAAAAGCUACCCUGGGAUAACAGGCUUAUCACUCCCAAGAGUUCACAUCGACGGAGUGGUUUGGCACCUCGAUGUCGGCUCAUCGCAUCCUGGGGCUGAAGUAGGUCCCAAGGGUUGGGCUGUUCGCCCAUUAAAGCGGUACGCGAGCUGGGUUCAGAACGUCGUGAGACAGUUCGGUCCCUAUCCGGCGUGGGCGUAAGAUAUUUGAGAGGAGCUGUCCUUAGUACGAGAGGACCGGGAUGGACUGGCCGCUGGUGUAUCUGUUGUCUUACCAAAGGCAUAGCAGAGUAGCCAAGCCGGGAAGGGAUAAACGCUGAAGGCAUCUAAGCGUGAAGCCCCCCUCAAGAUGAGAUAUCUCAUAACGUCAAGUUAGUAAGACCCCUUGAAGACGACGAGGUAGAUAGGGCAGAGGUGGAAGUGUGUAACACAUGGAGCUGACUGUUACUAAUAGGUCGAGGGCAUAACC